ACUCAAAUAGCUUAUAAAUUAGAGCAUAACAUUGAAGAUGUUAGUGAGAUUAAUAGAUCUUUGAGUA
This 67-nucleotide transfer RNA is filed under the name Validiblatta australasiae (Australian cockroach). RNAcentral describes it as "Periplaneta australasiae (Australian cockroach) tRNA-Phe". Lineage: Eukaryota; Metazoa; Arthropoda; Insecta; Blattodea; Blattidae. The record is from RNAcentral.